RNAcentral lists this ribosomal RNA (258 nucleotides) under uncultured bacterium. RNAcentral describes it as "partial 16S ribosomal RNA". It matches the Rfam family "Bacterial small subunit ribosomal RNA", at positions 1243 to 1500 of the family's 1533-position model. The record is from RNAcentral.
AGAGAAGCAAGCCUGUGAAGGGGAGCGAAACUCAAAAACCGGUCCCAGUUCGGAUUGUAGGCUGCAACUCGCCUACAUGAAGUCGGAGUUGCUAGUAAUCGCGGAUCAGAAUGCCGCGGUGAAUGCGUUCCCGGGUCUUGUACACACCGCCCGUCACACCAUGGGAGUUUGUAACGCCCAAAGUCGGUGGCCUAACCUUUAUGGAGGGAGCCGCCUAAGGCGGGACAGAUGACUGGGGUGAAGUCGUAACAAGGUACC